Molecule: non-coding RNA, 133 nt
Filed under: pig gut metagenome
Description: FMN riboswitch (RFN element)
Rfam family: FMN riboswitch aptamer (RFN element)
About the family: The RFN element is a highly conserved domain that is found frequently in the 5'-untranslated regions of prokaryotic mRNAs that encode for flavin mononucleotide (FMN) biosynthesis and transport proteins.
Source: RNAcentral
AUCUUCAGGGCAGGGUGUAAUUCCCGACCGGCGGUAUAGUCCGCGAGUGAUGAAUCAUAUUCGAGUAUAAUUUGAUUUUGAGCUGACUCGGUGCAACUCCGAGACCGACAGUAUAGUCUGGAUGGAAGAAGAU